UUUCCGUAGGUGAACCUGUGGAAGGAUCAUUAUCGUACAAAAUGUGAGGGGCAUGCGAGGGCUGUCGCAGACCCAAAAGUCGUGCACGCCCGAGUGUGUCCUCUUGCAUAAUAAUCCAUCUCACCCUUUGUGCAUCACCGCGUGGGCACCCUUCGGGAUCAUCUCGGAGGGGGGCUCGCGUUUUCACACAAACCCCCCUUUUAAAAGUGUAGAAUGACCACAUUUAUGCAAUCAAUACAACUUUCAACAACGGAUCUCUUGGCUCUC
Molecule: unclassified non-coding RNA, 267 nt
Filed under: plant metagenome
Description: partial contains small subunit ribosomal RNA, internal transcribed spacer 1, and 5.8S ribosomal RNA
Source: RNAcentral